RNAcentral lists this ribosomal RNA (253 nucleotides) under Marseilla massiliensis. Its description in RNAcentral is "partial 16S ribosomal RNA". It matches the Rfam family "Bacterial small subunit ribosomal RNA", at positions 524 to 776 of the family's 1533-position model. The record is from RNAcentral. Lineage: Bacteria; Pseudomonadati; Bacteroidota; Bacteroidia; Bacteroidales; Prevotellaceae.
UACGGAAGGUCCGGGCGUUAUCCGGAAUCAUUGGGUUUAAAGGGAGCGUAGGCCGCAUGUCAAGCGUGCUGUGAAAUCCCGGGGCUCAACCCCGGAAGCGCAGCGCGAACUGGCGUGCUUGAGUUGCAUCGAGGCAGGCGGAAUUCGUGGUGUAGCGGUGAAAUGCUUAGAUAUCACGAAGAACCCCGAUUGCGAAGGCAGCCUGCCAGUUGCACACUGACGCUGAUGCUCGAAGGCGCGGGUAUCGAACAGG